Molecule: small nuclear RNA, 53 nt
Filed under: Eremothecium sinecaudum
Lineage: Eukaryota; Fungi; Ascomycota; Saccharomycetes; Saccharomycetales; Saccharomycetaceae
Description: HBLSNR7
Rfam family: U5 spliceosomal RNA
About the family: U5 RNA is a component of both types of known spliceosome. The precise function of this molecule is unknown, though it is known that the 5' loop is required for splice site selection and p220 binding, and that both the 3' stem-loop and the Sm site are important for Sm protein binding and cap methylation.
Source: RNAcentral
ACCUAUAUCGAACAUGGUUGUUGCCUUUUACCACAACCAUCCGGGUAUUGUCU